GACGAACCGUGCGAACGUUAUUCGGAAUCACUGGGCUUAAAGCGCGUGUAGGCGGGAGGGCACGUCCGUCGCUGAAAUCCCCCGGCUCAACCGGGGAACGGGCGCGGAUACGACCUUCCUGGAGGGGCGUAGGGGGACCUGGAACUUCCGGUGGAGCGGUGAAAUGCGUAGAUAUCGGGAGGAACACCAGUGGCGAAGGCGGCAUCCUGGCCAUGUACUGACGCUCAGGGGCGAAAGCGUGGGGAGCAAACCGG
RNAcentral lists this ribosomal RNA (254 nucleotides) under uncultured bacterium. RNAcentral's name for it is "partial 16S ribosomal RNA". It matches the Rfam family "Bacterial small subunit ribosomal RNA", at positions 524 to 776 of the family's 1533-position model. The record is from RNAcentral.